Oreochromis niloticus (Nile tilapia) is the source of this 1584-nucleotide long non-coding RNA. RefSeq lists it as uncharacterized. The transcript is spliced from 3 exons. The record is from RefSeq and is a predicted model, not a curated record. NCBI's taxonomy places the organism in Eukaryota, Metazoa, Chordata, Actinopteri, Cichliformes, Cichlidae.
CAGGACCUUGAAAUGCACCGUAUAGAACGAAAGACCAUCGUACAAACAAAGGCUCAGGCUGCACAGCAAGAUUUAUACGAUGCCGUGGAGGUCUUUAACGUUUCUCCCUGAAGAUGAAUGUGAGGUUACUGGGCUCCCCCACAAUGUUUCAAAAGUUUCCCAGAUGACUACAUGGCAGAGCCAGGCUCUGUGAUGUGGAGGCCUACAACUAUAUGCCUGGCUGCGCGGGACUGACCCUUGCAGCGGGCUGCCACAGCAAAGACGACAUUUCACAGCUACAAAGCUCCUGCAGCGUUUCUGGAAUCGCUUCACAGGGUGACAGCUGAUGGUGUGGGAGCUUCAACUGAAGGAUGUGACCAGAGGUCCGACUUCAUACGGUGCUAGGUCCCAGGAGGGCAUCAUUUCACAGACAUAAUGUAUUAUUUUCAGUUUCUCUUACGUGCAUCUGUAGUGAAUAAGCGCUUGAUGUAAGUGCAGCAAAGAACAGAUACUGGAGUAAACUGAACUACACACUUCAAAUAGAUUCAAUGUUAUUUAGCAUCUCCUAGUGGAAAUUAGAUUCUUAGUGCCCAUAUGCAUAGUGAUGGAGUGACAGGCAGUCAGCAGUAGAUUACCAUAAUUUGACUGCUGUUUUUUUUUCACUACUAAUUGAAGGAUAAUUUGAGAACAUAAUUUGCUACAACAUUUGCUAUAUUUCUCUCAUCGUCAAAAAAAAUCCUUUAAAAAAGUCCAAGUGGCAGUAAAAGCGUUAUUAGUCUAUGGAGCUGCUGUGGCUCACAGAUGUGUUUUCAGUAGUUUUUAGACAAGAAUAGAGCUCUAACCACAGCGAAAUAACAUAAAUGUGGCUUUAGACACAUAGCCGAUACUUUGCAGAAGGAUCAAUUCAUCGCUUUUGGACUUUUAAUGGAAUUUGUCGAGGAGAAAAACAGGAAAACCUUAGCAAAUAAAUAAGUUUAACCUUUAAUGAUAUAAAAAAUCUAAAAAUAAGACAGAUUCUAGUUGUGUGAAGGGUCCAAAACAAAAACAAAAAAAAAAAAAAAAGACGACUGCUGAAGACCUAACCUCUUUGAGAAAGAAUUUGACUAAGGAUUUGUAGUUAAUGCGAAAGGACUGAACAAAUAUUUUACCAGUACAAUUUUCGGCAGCAAAGACAGGAGGUGUGUAAAACAAAUAAAUGACUCAACAGACAUCCAAUUUCAAUGCUUUAUGCCAGAGCAGUAAAAAUGACAACUGCUAGGCUCCUGUUAUAUUUAAAUUUUACAUGCGACUUACAAAGCCAUGUUCUCCUGUGCCACUGUGCUGAUUGCUAACUGAGAAAAUUGUCAUUCAAUAUUUCCAAUCUUUGUUGAGCAGCUGAAAACACUGCGAUUUGUGAUUACAGUCAUUGUUGUAAUAUUGAUUCACGUAGAGCAGCAGCAGCAGCAGCAGCAGCAAUUUCACUCAUAUGGAACCGUGGUCUGAAAUACAGUUCUCAACAAAGGGCAAACAGUUACUGACAAAGCAAUUUUCCACUCAAGGUCUCCAUAAUGCAUUAAGUAAGGUUUAACUCAACCCAAUAGAUCAAAGGAUGGAAACCAAACUAUA